RNAcentral lists this long non-coding RNA (2005 nucleotides) under Homo sapiens (human). Its description in RNAcentral is "non-protein coding lnc-UBAC1-2:2". Lineage: Eukaryota; Metazoa; Chordata; Mammalia; Primates; Hominidae. The record is from RNAcentral.
CUGUAGAGAGAGACGAGCCACUCAGUAUUUAUGAGAUGUCUGCACCUUUAUCCCUAAGCCUGACUAUUAGCAAUACGCAUAUCCUAUAUAGAAUCUAUUACAGAGCUACGUUAUCUCCACACCUUUUGAGGAGGACAGAAGGGACUGGACCGUGUUGGAGCUGCCGCCUGGCAGGUGGUGGGCCUGGGAUCUAGCCGCCUCUCCUGCCCUGCCUUCCUCUUCCCCAAGGGGAUGGGCCCAGGAGGCAGCUGGGUUGCAUGGAGAGGUCCAGGAGGGACCGGAGGUGUGACAGAUACUGUGAGCCCGGCGGGCCGCGCCUGGCUGGGUGCCUCGGUACUUGAAUUCUGUCUUGUUUUCCGCAUUGUGUCUGUCCACCCGAGUUCUCUGUCGUCACUUAACUUUGCAUUGGAUUUGGUUGUUGUACUUUGCCCCUGAAUGUGGACAAAGCUGUGGGCAAGAGGUCAGCAGGACCCGCCUGGGGGUGCCGGCGUUGGUGACUGCGGGUCGGGGCUCCUAGAACAUAGGAGCCGGCUGCCUGGCCUCCUUUCUCCUCCAGGAAGAGUCAUUCUUUGGCAUUUGUGUUUAGAGCCAGGAGGAAGGCGGAAGGUAGGGAGGGAGGGCUGGUCCCCCUCUGAGGGGGCUCUAGUGCCUGACCCUGACCUGUCCUCAUUCGACAGCUGAAACUGUUAAGCGCUGGCCCAGUCCCCCCACCCCACCCAGCCGUGUACUGCCUGGGCUCCCCUCAAAGGGAAAUUUUUAUGGAAACAUCUUGGCAGCAAGUGGAAAAAGAUCUAUGGCCCAUGAACCAACUGAAAACUCCAAGAACCCUCUGUCUGCCUCUGCCAGCAGCGAGUCCUAAGCGCAGAAUCCAGAGCUCGUAGCUGUCCUCAGCUGUAACUACUGUUUCAGAAUGUUGCUGCUGCAUACUUUUGUCAUGUCAGCCAGCCAGCUCCGUGGGUGAGAGUGUGCGUGUGCGCGUGUCUGUGUGUGUGUGCGUGUCUGUGUGUGCACGUCUGUGCGUCUGUGUGUGCGCGUCUGUGCAUGUGUGUGUCUGUGCGUGUGUGCGUCUGUGUGUGUGCGUCUGUGUGCGCGUGUGUGUGCGCGUCUGUGUGUAUGUGUGCACGCGCGUCUGUGUGCACGUGCGUGUCUCUGCACGCGUGUCUGUGUAUGUGUGCACGCGUGUGUCUGUGUGUGUGCACGCGCGUGCACGUCACCACCGGAGCAUUUAGGGUUUGGUACAAGAUGGUUCUAAAAUGGCAAAGGUUUUUCGUGUUUGUUUGUUUUGUUUCUUUGGAAAAAGAAAAGGAAAGGAAAAUCAUGCAGAAUCGCAAGCAUUCAGACUGGACGACCGGCUCGUAUUCCGAUCAGUCGCUUCCAUUGUUAGCAUCGUACACGAUUGUGAUUUUUAUGUCAAAAGAAGCCAAAACUUGCAAUACUAUUUUUAGCAGACAAAAAAAAGAACUAAGUAUAAAAUGUAUAAAUAUUUUUGACUUGAAGAUUUGGAUGGCACUGGGUGCAAGUAGAGCAUCCAUCCUUCGGAUGGAAUGUUUGGAAAAAAGAGACUUUUAAAAAGGAGACGGUUGUUUUAAAGAGUCUGUUUAGGGGUUAAAGUACUGUAACUCACGACUGUUAAAAAAUAAAUUUUCCUGUGCUGUAAAGGAAGGUUUCACAGUACCACUGAGUUAGAUUUCAGCCACAGAUGCUUAGCUUUUUUUUUUUGUCUUUUUUUUAAGGAGGAAGCCUUUGUUUUGUUUUCCUGAGCCCUCACUCUGUUUUUGUGCUGUUACUCGGUAGAGUCAAGACUGUUACUUUUUAGCCAUGGCUGACAUUGUAUCAAUAACUAAAACUGAAACAUUCAAAAGCGAACAGGGAAACCGAGGGCUUCAAGCGUGCUCAGAGCCGUUUCAGACAGUGGAAAUCCAUGACAAACAAAAGGAUGUGAUCAUUAAUUGUAAAGCGCUUUGUAAAAUUCACAUUUACAAAAUAAUAAAGUCAGUUCAAACCU